This is a long non-coding RNA of Nicotiana attenuata, 502 nucleotides long. RefSeq lists it as uncharacterized. The record is from RefSeq and is a predicted model, not a curated record. Lineage: Eukaryota; Viridiplantae; Streptophyta; Magnoliopsida; Solanales; Solanaceae. The transcript is spliced from 3 exons.
AAAAAAUCCCUUUAGCCAACCACAUCAAACGAGAAAAGAAAGAAAACGUUUCUAGUGUUUCUUAGCGCCGAUACCGUGUUUCACUUCGUCAUCGGCACAAAUUUUUGAGCUUCCACAAUAAACUCCAGAUUGAUUGAAGGAACCCAUACGGAUUGCUCGAGGUGACGAGUUUGGUAUUUUGCACGAGUACUAGACAGCAGUUGACGUGAGUGAGGAUUUCGUUAAUUGGAGUAUACGAGUUAAUAGUUCCUGGUGAGCCCCGCACUUGUUCGCGUGGGCGAAGAGUCUAUUUAUUUGUCAUCGUCUUUGCUUUUGAACUCUUAGAGUCGCUCCAUAGUCAUUUUUAUUAGUGUUAUGGUUAUUCAUUCAUUAUAUUGGAUUAGUUCCUAAUAUUGCAUUUGUUUUCAUAUUUCUGAGAUGGGAUUAGUAUUAUUAUGUUGAUAAGUUUUGUAAUCUUAGUGAAAACUCAUUUUUGGUUAGUUGAUGAGGAUUAUGACUGAUU